RNAcentral lists this ribosomal RNA (460 nucleotides) under uncultured bacterium. RNAcentral describes it as "partial 16S ribosomal RNA". It matches the Rfam family "Bacterial small subunit ribosomal RNA", at positions 338 to 795 of the family's 1533-position model. The record is from RNAcentral.
CCUACGGGUGGCAGCAGUGAGGAAUAUUGGUCAAUGGGCGCGAGCCUGAACCAGCCAAGUAGCGUGAAGGAUGACUGCCCUACGGGUUGUAAACUUCUUUUAUAAAGGAAUAAAGUGAGGCACGUGUGCCUUUUUGUAUGUACUUUAUGAAUAAGGAUCGGCUAACUCCGUGCCAGCAGCCGCGGUAAUACGGAGGGGGCAAGCGUUAUCCGGAUUUACUGGGUGUAAAGGGGGCGCAGACGGCGAUGCAAGCCAGGAGUGAAAGCCCGGGGCCCAACCCCGGGACUGCUCUUGGAACUGCGUGGCUGGAGUGCAGGAGGGGCAGGCGGAAUUCCUGGUGUAGCGGUGAAAUGCGUAGAUAUCACGCAGAACUCCGAUUGCGAAGGCAGCUUACUAAACUAUAACUGACACUGAAGCACGAAAGCGUGGGGAUCAAACAGGAUUAGAUACCCCUGUAGUC